GACGAACGCUGGCGGCGUGCUUAACACAUGCAAGUCGAACGGAAAGGCCCUGCUUUUGUGGGGUGCUCGAGUGGCGAACGGGUGAGUAACACGUGAGUAACCUGCCCUUGACUUUGGGAUAACUUCAGGAAACUGGGGCUAAUACCGGAUAGGAGCUCCUGCUGCAUGGUGGGGGUUGGAAAGUUUCGGCGGUUGGGGAUGGACUCGCGGCUUAUCAGCUUGUUGGUGGGGUAGUGGCUUACCAAGGCUUUGACGGGUAGCCGGCCUGAGAGGGGGACCGGCCACAUUGGGAUGGAGAUACGGCCCAGACUCCUACGGGAGGCAGCAGUGGGGAAUAUUGCACAAUGGGCGGAAGCCUGAUGCAGCAACGCCGCGUGCGGGAUGACGGCCUUCGGGUUGUAAACCGCUUUCGCCUGUGACGAAGCGUGAGUGACGGUAAUGGGUAAAGAAGCACCGGCUAACUACGUG
Molecule: ribosomal RNA, 468 nt
Filed under: uncultured bacterium
Lineage: Bacteria
Description: partial 16S ribosomal RNA
Rfam family: Bacterial small subunit ribosomal RNA
Source: RNAcentral